RNAcentral lists this unclassified non-coding RNA (150 nucleotides) under uncultured fungus. Its description in RNAcentral is "sequence contains ITS1". Lineage: Eukaryota; Fungi. The record is from RNAcentral.
AUUUUUGUUAUAAUAACAUGACGUUCAUUACACAAUGUUUGUAAAAGUAAUUGACCGAAGUCAAUCAACAGUUCACAGGUGUAGAUGGAUAUAGUUUAACGCUCAGAGAGCAAUUCACUAAUGAUCCUUCCGCAGGUUCACCUACGGAAA